Molecule: long non-coding RNA, 2572 nt
Organism: Oxyura jamaicensis (ruddy duck)
Lineage: Eukaryota; Metazoa; Chordata; Aves; Anseriformes; Anatidae
Exons: 3
Source: RefSeq, a predicted model, not a curated record
GAAGAAUUGCCUAACCUGCAAAACAAGUACCUCACUCCUCCAAAUAAUCACACCACAAGUCUCUCUCCUUCCCCUGCUGCAACUGCUCCUCUGGGUGGCAGCCCAGGGAAGCCAGCCAGGACACCACAAUCUCCCAGAGGAGCUGACUCGCCUUUCUGUAAUCAAAAGGGCAUGUUAAUUACAACCCUUGCCCAGAAAAAGAUGCAUGGGAACUGCCAGUCAGAGGCCCCUGCUGUAUCUAAAGCCACCCGUAGCAUUUUCCUCCCUUCUAGGAAGGGACCAACCUUUAAGCCCUCGCUACGGCUUGUCACGAACCUAAAUAGGACUUCAAAGGUAAAGCGAGAAGGGAUGGCUUCUGACCCAAGGAGGAGACAGGGCAGAUACAUUUCCCUGGAGACGGGCAGUGCACAAUCCAAGGGAGGCGCAGAAGGGUUUUCAGACUUUCCUUCCCUCCUGCUCCCCUGGUGGCUCCAGAGGGAAACCCAGUGGGACAGGCAGCAGGAAGGGAGGGACAUUUACCCCAGAGUGAGCUGACAUGAGGUUGCAAAUGCAGGGACACAUAUAUUUGUCUCUAAGGAUCCCUGCGCUGCCUUCUUGCAACUGCAGCUAUUCCACGGGGAGACCCUUGGUAAAAUACAGUGGAGACUGUGGCCACAAAUACCACGUCCCAUCCCCACUUUCUCCAACAAAAUCACUGUCAACCUCUGCGUUCACUAAAACAGUUUUACUCUGUGCUGCGCUCAGUUUCAAUUAUUUUCAGAGCAGGAAUGAAAUGUCUGCAGCAAACACACCUGGAGCUCACUGCACGCUGACACUCAGCGGCUGAGCAGAUUCACCUCUGUGCCCGCUUCGGUGCCAACCUGCUGCCACCCCAGGCCCUUCGCCUCCUGCCCUGGUGUCUGCAUGGAUGGGCCAUGAGUGGUGUUUGUUUGUUAGGGCAUAGAUGGAGAGCAGCAAAUGUUGCUAGCCUGAGUGCCAUGCUCACAGGAGGGGCACCUGGAGGGUCUGCUCUUCAGGCUGCAGGACUGGGACCAACAGCCCUGGUCUUCUGGAGUGGGAUCAGCAUGCAGCAUAUAAGGCAAAUGUAACAUAUAAGAAGCAAACCUUUUGCACUUAGAGGUUUUUGUACACAUUCAGGAUUAAGCAAUUAAGCUGUGAUGCAAAGAGGAAUAAUGCCGAUUUAUGAAAUGGCACUGAGGUUAUUGCAUGAGGAGCCUCCCCUACCCUGUGCCAGGCAGCCCGAUGCACAGGAUGAAGUUCCUCCUCUAGCAACAUGAGCUGCAGCCCCAGUCCUGCAAAGCCUCACUCCCAAGCCUAUAGGUGGGAGCUGUGAGCAGCCCCCGCAGUCAGGAUAACCCACAGAGCCAAACUCCGCAAAGCUUAGGCAAAACAGGGCACAUACACCUCCAGACUGCAGCGCAUCUGGAGUAGAAGCACUUUAAAAAGGUGGUUUGCACAGCACCUAAUGCCAUAAGCCACAAUCGUGACUUUGGUGUUUGGAUGUUUCCAUGUUAUGACAAUAAAAAAGUACUUGGAGAGCAAAUACCGAUAGCAGUAUUCAUGUAUUCAUUGCAUAAACUUUCAUGCUUGAAAAUGUUCAAAAUCAAAAUGAAUUGUAAAUGCCUAUGAAGUAAACAAGUGUUUUUUGUUUACAAACAUGCUUCCAAAUGUAUUUGGGCUGUAUUCCCCAAUCAUCCUCAUUAGGAGGAGAGAGAGAAAAUGAGAAAGGAAAAAAAAAAGAAAUUUCACUGAAGCACAACCAAUGCUAGAGCCCAAUUAAUCUUUAAAAAAAAUAAAAUUUAAAAGCAGCCUAAGGAAAAUGCAGUCAAAUGUUCACAGAAUGAUCCUGCUAUCUCCAAGCCUCUGCCAGAAUUAAAUACCAUUUUCAGUUAUUUUUUUUCUGCAAAGUACUGCUGCCUUCUUUCUUGAUAGAAGCCUCAGAACACUUUUGGUUUAACCACUACUAUAAAACCUGGAGUCGUCUGCUCACCCUUUACAGCUUGUCUGGCAUCUGGCUUACUGGGGACUGAGGAUGAAAUGCCCAUGAGUCUGGCUGAAGUGACCGUGACAAGUCAGCUCCUGCCAUUUGCCCAGCUCUGGCUGGAGAUGCUCUGCACACUUUGUAUUUCAAAGCCCCUCCAUGCCAGCUUCUCACAAUAUUUGCUCACACUGGUUUCUUGUUUUCUUGCUCUUAACAUUCCUGUUCUUUCCCAUAAAUUCUUUCUCUCAGUUAUUGCUGACCUAGGAGAAGCAAGCUCUGGUUAUUCAACACUUUGCCACCUUACACCAGGUUUUGGAAGGUGAAAACCCUCAGAACAGUACAAAAGUCCAUUUUCUAACACUGCUUCUCCUAGUGAGAGGACUGUCAUCUCACACACACUGAACUUUAUCAGCCUUCAAAGACAUUACAUUAAGAAAAAAAAAAAAAAAAAAGAACAAAACAAAACACCAUAGUGUUGGGAUCAGAUACUUUGCAUGUAAAAAUAUCAGCUUUUAAGUAUAGGGGGAAAUUGCCACUUUUGUGCUAUUUCAUUAGCCACUCAUCACUCUAUAAUAGCAUUUUCAUUUACCA